CGUAGGGUGCAAGCGUUAAUCGGAAUUACUGGGCAUAAAGCGUGCGCAGGCGGUUGUGCAAGACCGAUGUGAAAUCCCCGGGCUUAACCUGGGAAUGGCAUUGGUGACUGCACGGCUAGAGUGUGUCAGAGGGGGUGGAAUUCCACGUGUAGCAGUGAAAUGCGUAGAGAUGUGGAGGAAUACCGAUGGCGAAGGCAGCCCCCUGGAGUAACACUGACGCUCAUGCACGAAAGCGUGGGAGCAAACAGGAUU
This 252-nucleotide ribosomal RNA is filed under the name uncultured bacterium. Its description in RNAcentral is "partial 16S ribosomal RNA". It matches the Rfam family "Bacterial small subunit ribosomal RNA", at positions 526 to 779 of the family's 1533-position model. The record is from RNAcentral.